GCUCUUCAUCAAAAUAACAUUUGAGUCCUUACUAAGCUACCCUAAGAUAAGAAACUUAUUGGUUGUAAAUGAGUUUACAGAAUUAAAUAUAAAGUUGAUGUUUCCUUAGAAUGAUACAAGGAUAGGCUUGUUGCCAAAAGUUUCAAACAAAUUAAAGGUAUUGAUUUCUUCGACACUUUCUGAUCAUGUUGCUAAACUGACUACUAUAAGAGCCGAAGAGACAUUUAAAAGCAACAAAAAUAGAAGGAAAAAAACUUCGCAAUGAUUGGUUACUUUCAAUGUGAUUCAUUAGAUAUGAUGAGAGCUGAAAAGACCAAGAUUUUACGGUAAAAUGAAUGAAAACUAUGGAGAUCAAAAUAAUACAUAUUAUUAAAUCGGAUCCAUUCAAAAUUCAAUAUAGUACAACGCUAAAAAUUUCCAGUACAGUGCAAUGCAUUUCCCCUGAUUACUUGAUGGUUUUCCAUGCCAUUGCUGAAAGCAGGAUGAAGAUUCUUUUUUGGGGAAAUCUUUCAAACACACUGCUUGCUUACUAGUACUACCUUUCCGAGUAUACAAAGGCAACAUCGACAGCUGCCACUGUCAGGCCAGCACUAUAUUUAGUCAUCACCUGUACCAGAUUCCACAAGCAGAAUUAAAACAAGUGUUACGGCAUGUAUUGUAAGUAAAUUUCCUAAAGUAGAACUACCAAUCAUCUAGUACACAGCUUGAACACGACUAGAUUGAAAACAGUUGUGAUCAACAAUGUGGACAGCCCAACUUAAGAAUACACUAUUUACCAAAACGUAAACUCAUGUCUUUAAUUUUAUCGAGGCCUAAAUGAUUGACUCAAAUGGAAAGUUACAUAUUCUGCAAACUACGUAGAUUAUAUCAUAUAGGAGUACAGAUUUGAUGAACAAAUUCACAUACAAAGGAUUGUAUAUCAAAAAAGAUUUUGCUUCAAAAAAAAAAUUGUAUAUCAAAAAAACAAAAUUAAAAAAGA
This 979-nucleotide long non-coding RNA is filed under the name Trifolium pratense (red clover). RNAcentral describes it as "long non-coding RNA (TPRA_LNC007812)". Lineage: Eukaryota; Viridiplantae; Streptophyta; Magnoliopsida; Fabales; Fabaceae. The record is from RNAcentral.